GCUGGGUUUUGUUGUCGCAAGCACAACAUAAGUUGGAUUGCUGCUGAAUCCCCAUUUGUGGGCGGGACUUGCUGUUGAGUUAAAGCUUCUUCUAUAGGUAAAUCCCCGGCCGGAGGAGGAUGAGGAACCUACUGUUGUGAUUGCUGCCCAGCAGAGCAGUCCGAUAAAAAGGCGUAGCAUUUUAAAUCUACCUUCUUUGUUGCUCACUCACUACUAAAUGCAGCUGCUUUUGGAUGGAGCGCAAAUCAACUAACCCAACUUUUAUUUCGUCUUAUCUGCCCUGUUGUUAUCACGCGGUAAUUGAAACCGAUAUUCUGUUUCUGGCACAUUUAAAUUAUAAUCUAGAUGCCAAAGAUUUUUAUAUUU
Long non-coding RNA from Drosophila albomicans, 366 nucleotides. RefSeq lists it as uncharacterized. The transcript has 2 exons. Lineage: Eukaryota; Metazoa; Arthropoda; Insecta; Diptera; Drosophilidae. The record is from RefSeq and is a predicted model, not a curated record.